This is a long non-coding RNA of Gossypium raimondii (Peruvian cotton), 1680 nucleotides long. RefSeq lists it as uncharacterized. The record is from RefSeq and is a predicted model, not a curated record. Lineage: Eukaryota; Viridiplantae; Streptophyta; Magnoliopsida; Malvales; Malvaceae. The transcript is spliced from 4 exons.
AAUGCUAAACAAAAGCAACCCAACCAAAACAAAUGACAUGAAACCUACUUUCAAACCAUCUGAAAAAAAAAAAAAAGAGAUAAGCCUAUAUGAAUCACUAUUAUCCCUUGAAGAUGAACAAAUUUCAGAGACUGCUUGUAGAUAAUCGGCGAGCGGUAUAACCUAAUCUGGCAGAUCCAUCCACCACCAAUCUUUUUCCACCGCAAUAGCAGCGGAAAAAGGCAUCCCUUGUGUCAGAUAAGUCGAUACUCCUCUCUUUAUGCCCUCUAUAGCUAAUAGAUGUGCUACUCUGUUCCCCUGUUUCGGUGCAUGUCUGAAAAAACAACUUUGAUAACUUUCACCGAGCGAUAUUGAGCUCCUUAUGUACGCACUGAUUCGUAUCUGUCUUCCCUGAUUGCAUGAAGCUUUUUCACUAUAGUAAGCGUGUCCCCCUCAAUCUCCUCAAAAAAUCCCAAUACCAGGUCCAUCUAAACCGCAUGAAAGCAUGCAAGAGCCCCCGCAGCGAAUGCCAAAAAUAUGUGGUCAUUCAUUAUCAUUCUGGAACCCAACACUACACCAUUUGAAUUUUAAUCACAAUUACCGUCAUGACCUCUUGGAAUGAUUUUGAAAAGUAACAUCAAAAUAAAUAUUCACAUAAGGACUUUCCGACAACCUCCAUCGUUCAGUCUCCACCCUUUGAAUAUGUAAUUUCUGGUUGAUUCCAUCUAACUCCUGCACAUAUGUAAUGAUAAAGUGGGUUGUGUCGAAAGGUGUCUAUCUAUCUCCUUCAUGAACUGCUUUAAUCCUACCUGUCCAUGUAGUCUAAAUUACACAAGCCACUAUCCUACACUGGUAAAUGGAAUUAUUCAAGAAAAUAUAUGCCAACCAAUCCUUGUAUUCUAACUCGGAUACUGCUUGGGGCCAAAUGGUAUUUAACAUCUGCCAUAUUUCCUUUACAAUGGAGUAAUCACGGAAAACAUGCUCUAAGUUUUCAACUCCAUUAAAGUAUCUAAGACAAGUAGCUAAACCAACCAAUCUUAUGUAGUGUAAGUUAUUAAAAGCAGGAAGGAAAUUCUGGAAAACUCUCCAAUUUGUAAUCUUUAUUUUAGCUGGUAGAUUAAUGAGCCAAAGUUUUUUUUGUAAAAAAGUGUAUAAGUAUUUUGGUUGUAAUUAGGCAUAGGUGUGUGAAUACUUUGUAAAAGUAGUUUGUAUCCACUUUGCACAGAAUACUCACCUGAAGCUUCGCCUCGUCAUACAAGUUUAUCAUCAUGUGGAACUCGUGUAAGGGAAUGCAUAUAAUUCUUUCUGCUUCAUCAGCAUGAAAUACCCUGGCACCCAAGCUUUAGCCUAGACCAAGAUUUGAGUCAUUGUUCCAACUCAUCAACAUUUAUCAGCUUGAAGGUGCCCAUUUGUAGCCCAAAUACUUUUUCAGAUCAAGAACCGAAGAAAUCAGAGUUGGAUCGGGGAAAAACUAAAGUUGUCGAUUAAUCGUCUGGUUUCGACUUUUCAACGUACGAGACUUUAGAUCAAGCUUCAAGCUCGGGGAUCGUCAGCAAGUUCAUCACCCUAUCUAUUAUCUCGGUAUUUAAAAUAUUUAAAUUCUAACUAUGGCAUGUAUAAACUAGAUAAAUGUUUUGAAGGUCGUAUUUUGUUGUAUUGUAUAUGAUUAUUAUAGCCAUACUAAAAUGGUUUAUUUUCUUA